UAGGGAAUCUUCGGCAAUGGACGAAAGUCUGACCGAGCAACGCCGCGUGAGCGAAGAAGGUUUUCGGAUCGUAAAACUCUGUUGGUAGAGAAGAACGUUGGUGAGAGUGGAAAGCUCAUCAAGUGACGGUAACUACCCAGAAAGGGACGGCUAACUACGUGUCAG
RNAcentral lists this ribosomal RNA (165 nucleotides) under uncultured bacterium. RNAcentral describes it as "partial 16S rRNA". It matches the Rfam family "Bacterial small subunit ribosomal RNA", at positions 355 to 511 of the family's 1533-position model. The record is from RNAcentral.